CAUUGGAUAGCUCAGCGGGUAGAGCAUCAGACUUGUAAUCUGACUGUCCCGGGUUCGAAUCCCGGUCCAGCUC
Molecule: transfer RNA, 73 nt
Filed under: Ahrensia sp.
Lineage: Bacteria; Pseudomonadati; Pseudomonadota; Alphaproteobacteria; Hyphomicrobiales; Ahrensiaceae
Description: tRNA-Thr
Rfam family: tRNA
About the family: Transfer RNA (tRNA) molecules are approximately 80 nucleotides in length. Their secondary structure includes four short double-helical elements and three loops (D, anti-codon, and T loops).
Source: RNAcentral